This 305-nucleotide ribosomal RNA is filed under the name uncultured bacterium. Its description in RNAcentral is "bacterial SSU rRNA". It matches the Rfam family "Bacterial small subunit ribosomal RNA", at positions 334 to 653 of the family's 1533-position model. The record is from RNAcentral.
UAGUCCUACGGGAGGCAGCAGUGGGGAAUAUUGGGCAAUGGGCGCAAGCCUGACCCAGCAACGCCGCGUGAAGGAAGAAGGCUUUCGGGUUGUAAACUUCUUUUAUGAGGGACGAAAGAAAUGACGGUACCUCAUGAAUAAGCCACGGCUAACUACGUGCCAGCAGCCGCGGUAAUACGUAGGUGGCAAGCGUUAUCCGGAUUUACUGGGUGUAAGGGGCGUGUAGGCGGGAGAGCAAGUCAGACGUGAAAUUCCAGGGCUCAACCCUGGAACUGCGUUUGAAACUGGUCUUCUUGAGUGAUGGG